UCUAGUGACGAUGGCAAGGAGGGCACACCUGUUCCCAUACCGAACACAGAAGUUAAGCUCCUUAGCGCCGAGGGUAGU
RNAcentral lists this ribosomal RNA (78 nucleotides) under Turicibacter sanguinis. Lineage: Bacteria; Bacillati; Bacillota; Erysipelotrichia; Erysipelotrichales; Turicibacteraceae. The record is from RNAcentral.